This 437-nucleotide ribosomal RNA is filed under the name Micromonospora sp. P634. RNAcentral describes it as "bacterial SSU rRNA". It matches the Rfam family "Bacterial small subunit ribosomal RNA", at positions 24 to 479 of the family's 1533-position model. Lineage: Bacteria; Bacillati; Actinomycetota; Actinomycetes; Micromonosporales; Micromonosporaceae. The record is from RNAcentral.
UCAGGACGAACGCUGGCGGCGUGCUUAACACAUGCAAGUCGAGCGGAAAGGCCCUUCGGGGUACUCGAGCGGCGAACGGGUGAGUAACACGUGAGCAACCUGCCCCAGGCUUUGGGAUAACCCCGGGAAACCGGGGCUAAUACCGAAUAUGACCUUGCACCGCAUGGUGUUUGGUGGAAAGUUUUUCGGCUUGGGAUGGGCUCGCGGCCUAUCAGCUUGUUGGUGGGGUGAUGGCCUACCAAGGCGACGACGGGUAGCCGGCCUGAGAGGGCGACCGGCCACACUGGGACUGAGACACGGCCCAGACUCCUACGGGAGGCAGCAGUGGGGAAUAUUGCACAAUGGGCGGAAGCCUGAUGCAGCGACGCCGCGUGAGGGAUGACGGCCUUCGGGUUGUAAACCUCUUUCAGCAGGGACGAAGCGUAAGUGACGGUACC